RNAcentral lists this small RNA (497 nucleotides) under Pan troglodytes (chimpanzee). RNAcentral's name for it is "processed transcript". The record is from RNAcentral. Lineage: Eukaryota; Metazoa; Chordata; Mammalia; Primates; Hominidae.
AAAGAUAGAAAUCAAGGACGUGGAUGGGCAGACGCUGAGUAAGCUGAUUGACUACAUCUAUACUGCUGAAAUCGAGGUGACUGAAGAGAAUGUCCAGGUGCUGCUCCCGGCAGCCAGCUUGCUGCAGCUCAUGGAUGUUCGGCAGAACUGCUGUGACUUCCUGCAGUCUCAGUUGCAUCCCACCAAUUGCCUGGGAAUCCGUGCAUUUGCAGAUGUACACACCUGCACUGACCUUCUGCAGCAGGCCAAUGCCUAUGCAGAGCAGCACUUUCCAGAGGUGAUGCUAGGAGAAGAAUUUCUUAGCCUGAGUCUGGACCAGGUGUGCAGCUUGAUAUCCAGUGACAAGCUGACCGUUUCUUCAGAAGAGAAGGUAUGACAUGGCUCACUGGGGAAGCGGGAACCUCACUCGUCAGGUGGUCAUGGGAAGGACUUGUGGUUUGGUGAGAUCUUUUCUUUUCUUUUAUUUGAGAUGGAGUCUCGCUCUGUCGGCCAGGCUG